CUGGAGGUAUCAGAAGUGCGAAUGCUGACAUAAGUAACGAUAAAGCGGGUGAAAAGCCCGCUCGCCGGAAGACCAAGGGUUCCUGUCCAACGUUAAUCGGGGCAGGGUGAGUCGACCCCUAAGGCGAGGCCGAAAGGCGUAGUCGAUGGGAAACAGGUUAAUAUUCCUGUACUUGGUGUUACUGCGAAGGGGGGACGGAGAAGGCUAUGUUGGCCGGGCGACGGUUGUCCCGGUUUAAGCGUGUAGGCUGGUUUUCCAGGCAAA
Molecule: ribosomal RNA, 264 nt
Filed under: Escherichia coli
Lineage: Bacteria; Pseudomonadati; Pseudomonadota; Gammaproteobacteria; Enterobacterales; Enterobacteriaceae
Description: partial 23S ribosomal RNA
Rfam family: Bacterial large subunit ribosomal RNA
Source: RNAcentral